Molecule: ribosomal RNA, 264 nt
Filed under: Triticum aestivum (bread wheat)
Lineage: Eukaryota; Viridiplantae; Streptophyta; Magnoliopsida; Poales; Poaceae
Description: partial small subunit ribosomal RNA
Source: RNAcentral
AUUGGUGACUUUAACGAAAUAUUACUGUCGUCAGAAAAGGAAGGAGGAGCCCAGCGGCAGCAGUCUAGGCUCAAAGCAUUCCAAGAUGCCCUGGCAGACUAUUCCUUAGAGGAUAUUGGAUACCAUGGUGACAAAUUUACCUUCUUUAGAGGAGGACUGCGAGAAAGAUUGGAUCGAGCAGUUUCAAAUCCGGGAUGGAUGGAGAUGCACCCGUUAUGUAGUCUUGUAAACCUGGAUAUGGGCAAGUCGGACCACAGACCUAUA